AAGCUGUGAUCGAAUUGAAUAUAUCCUGUAAAAUAAUACAAUGAAGGAAACAAUAUUAUUCUACCAUGUUUCUUUCUCUCUUUACUCUGAUGAUGUGAUUAAAAGAAGAUAUAAACCUUAGUAUAUGUAAACUUUUAAAUAAUCUUUGAUGUAUAAAUGCUUAAUUUCAUAUGAGAGAUUUGCAUUGUCCAAAUUUUCGUAUUUAUAAGUUAUAACUUUACGUGUCCGAUCCAACAAUUUAGCUCAGAACUGGACGGAUGGUUAAUUACACCAUCCUAUAUAUUAUUUUCUUGAAAACUAAAUUACACCAUCCUAUCUAUCUACUAUUACUUAAGGCAAAACCUCAAGUUACUAUUCCUAAGAAACCUCAAAUCUUGGCCAUUCAAUUCACUUUCUAAUCUAACGGUUGGUUUUCACUCCUCACCUAUGACACAUGACAUUGUGGGCCUUUGUUUUGUUUUUUUUGUCCAAGGUUACUAUUUCAAGUACAAAUAGUUUCUUCUUCUUGCAGUUUUUUGGCCCAAAGACGGUUCAUGAUAUCAUCAUCUCAGGGCCAGGUCUUCUCACGGUCAGAGCAAGGAAAAGGAGGGACGAAGCUGGUGGAAGGAGAAGGAAGAAGCUUUCGUGUAUCUCAAAACACUGUUCAUGCAGUGAUUUGAAGAUGGAGCAGGAAGCAUGGCUCCAAUGACGCAAGAUACAGUGCAUUUUUGUACCUUAAGCUUCUCUUUCCCGAUUUCAUCAUCCAUUGCGGAUUCGUGGCUCCAAUGGUGUACCAACAGAUGAGUUUCCUUUAUCCAAUUCUUCAAUCAAUUGAUGUCCUACUAGUUAUAGAGUAUUUUGUAAUGGGCUUCUUUCAUUCCCACUUCUAUAAAUGCUCCUUUGGUUUUGAAGAGUGUGUGUGUUCAUGCAGUGUUCUGGGCCAACCCAUGGUUAAUCUCUUCCCUUCUUACGAUUCUCAUGUCUGAUGUGAUGAACCUUUGAUGUCAUGACUCAGGACCUCCUUCACUCUCUUCUCUUUCUUGGUAUUUUGGGUGUUUUUUCAAUUUUACAGUAUGGUUUUUAUGUAUGCGAGUUUGGAUUGUUGUAAUGGUGUUCUUGGUGUUGUGGUGUUGUUAACCUCUUUAAGUGAUGGGUCUGAGUUCUUAUUCUAAAAAUUGAAACCUUGUGAGGAACUUUUUAUUCUUAGAUGGUUGGAUUUGAGGAUCAGUGAUGUUACUUGAGAACCUGCGUUAUCUAUCUGUAACUUCCUGCAGGAAUUGAAGAUCACUUACUGUUACCCCUUUGCCAUCUUACUUCUUAUCUUGCUUUAUAUUAGUUUUAAUCAGCAUUGUCAUGCCUUGAAGUGAUUGUAUGGCAUGGGAUAUCUAGCAUUGCAGACUAAGACUCAUGAGCUUUACAUUCCUAUAUAGGAUCUGUUUUGCAAUUAUUUUAAUUUCAUAGAAGAGACCAAACUCAUAAUACUGAAAAUUUUCCCAUAUGGGGCUUGAUUCUGUUGUCUGCGGUCCAUAAUGUUCACCACUGUUUGUUUUCUUUUUGGGUUAAUUAAUUUGGAAGGUUUGUGCAUAUGAUAUUUGUUUGGUCUAUUUGUGAUUUAAAGUAGUGGGCUGAAGGUGUAAUUAUUUUGCUAGGCUUAAUUGCACUUUUGCUCCCUCAUCUUUCACCGUUGUGCGAAGUCCCUCCCCUAUGUUUGAAAGAAGCAGAUUCCCUCCCUCAUGUAUUAAAAUGUGAAGAUUCGCCCCUUCUGUUAGUUAGCCAUCUAAAAGCUAACGGAGGUUGCUAUUUUCACCUCCUUUUUUACUAUCUCCACCACUUACAUGAUUUUUGGAAAAAAAAAUUAUUGGAUGGAAAAAAAAUUAUUGGAUGGAAAAAAUUAUGUGCAAGAGAGAUGAAGGUUUUUUUUUUCUUUUAUAAAAAUAUAUAUUUUUUCUGUUUUUUACUUAUUUCAUUUAUUUUUUUCUUUAUUUUAUAUUUCUGAUUGAGGGGUGUGAUUAGUAAAAGGAGGAGGUGAAAAUAGCAAUCCCGUUAAUAAUUGGAUGGAAAGUUAACGGUAGCACAAAUUAAAACAUGAGGGAGGAAAUCUGCUCCUUUUAAACAUGAGGGAGGGACUUCGCACAACGGUGAAAGAUAAAGGAGUAAAAGUGCAAUUAAGCCAUUUUGCUAUUAAUAGCGUUAUUUGUUUCUUAAAAAGGGAUACUUUUAAAGCCAAUGUAAUUAUUGCUCCAAACGCACAGGGAAGUUAUGAUAUACUGAUACCAAGAAAACCAGCUUAAUUUGAUCAGACCUUUCUUAGAUUUUUUAAGGUUGAUUUUCAGACAGGUGUCUGAAUGGAUCUCCUGGUGUUUUCUCUAAUACUAUAAAUUCAAUUGUCAAUUUUUGUAGAACUUUAUGAUGUUAUUCUGGUUUGUGUUUGCAUUCCCAUAGGCAAAUAUAAGAUGCAUUUUACUCUGAUUACCUGGUGAAGCUUGAUUUUGCCUUUAUUGAUGAAUAUGGUUACAUGUGUCCAAUUGGGGAAUCAUCCAACCCAUUUGCACUUCAAUUAAAUCUUAUUGAUGCUGAGGUAGCAUAGUGAUAGCAUUUGUAACAUAUCUGAUUGUUUCCAAAUUAUGAUUACCGUUAUUUCUAACCCGUUUUUUUAUUGUUUGCAAGGGCAGAAGAUUGAGACAAGUAUUUGAAAAACAAUGAUCAUCUAAUUCUGGGGUGAAGUUGCUGAGGAUUAUUUUCAAUGUGAGGACAAGGGUGGUUACGUGAUGAAUCUGAGUUAAUUCCAAUGAAUGAAUUGUCUCUUAAAAACUCAGCUGAGUUUGAAUUGACAAUGGGAGCAUGCGACUUUCUGAUCGAAUGAGUAAGUGAAUAUAUAUGGAUGGGACGGGAAGCACGGUAAUGGGUUCAUAGGUGCUUUGUUUAAGGUCUCGGUGCUGCCAUGGAGACCUCCAAUGCCGGAAGGGCACUUCUUCUAGCACAUGAUCUUCAAGGGAACUAUGAAGCCAUUAGAGAGGGAGCUCGAGGAGGAUAUCAAGAACAUGAGGGGUCGCUGCUGGUAAUUUACGAUUUGUAGUUCAUAAAGCUCUACUAAGGAUUGAAGCCUGGUACCCAUGUAUUUCCCAGCUUUGGUAAAUUCACGUUUUUCUUCACAGUGAAUCAGUGAUAUUGUUUGUUUUUUUUACUGCAAUUAUGCUAUCUUGGAAUGGAGUAUUACAUGAUGUUGAAUUUCUUCCAUCUAUGCUUAUGUAAGCAGCUUA
This is a long non-coding RNA of Lotus japonicus, 3239 nucleotides long. RefSeq lists it as uncharacterized. The transcript is spliced from 4 exons. The record is from RefSeq and is a predicted model, not a curated record. Lineage: Eukaryota; Viridiplantae; Streptophyta; Magnoliopsida; Fabales; Fabaceae.